AGGGAUUGCCUCAGUAACGGCGAGUGAAGCGGCAACAGCUCAAAUUUGAAAUCUGGCUCCUUCGGGGCCCGAGUUGUAAUUUGCAGAGGAUGCGUCGGGUACGGGUGCCUUCCGAGUUCCCUGGAACGGGACGCCAUAGAGGGUGAGAGCCCCGUCUGGUAGGAUACCCAGCCCGUGUGACGCUCCCUCGACGAGUCGAGUAGUUUGGGAAUGCUGCUCUAACGGGAGGUAUACUCCUUCCAAGGCUAAAUACCGGCUGGAGACCGAUAGCGCACAAGUAGAGUGAUCGAAAGAUGAAAAGCACUUUGAAAAGAGAGUCAAACAGCACGUGAAAUUGUUAAAAGGGAAGCGCUCGCUACCAGACUUGGGUUCGGCGGUUCAACCGGGGCCACGCCCCGGGGCAUUCCGCCGGCCCAGGCCAGCAUCAGCUUUCCGUCGGGGGUAAAGGCGUCGGGAAUGUGGCUCCCCUUCGGGGGAGUGUUAUAGCCCGUCGUGUCAUACCCUUCGGGGGGCUGAGGUACGCGCUUCUGCAAGGAUGCUGGCGUAAUGGUAGCUAGUGACCCGUCUUG
RNAcentral lists this ribosomal RNA (569 nucleotides) under Plectosphaerella cucumerina. RNAcentral describes it as "eukaryotic LSU rRNA". It matches the Rfam family "Eukaryotic large subunit ribosomal RNA", at positions 70 to 656 of the family's 3401-position model. The record is from RNAcentral. Lineage: Eukaryota; Fungi; Ascomycota; Sordariomycetes; Glomerellales; Plectosphaerellaceae.